RNAcentral lists this ribosomal RNA (747 nucleotides) under Triticum aestivum (bread wheat). RNAcentral's name for it is "partial small subunit ribosomal RNA". Lineage: Eukaryota; Viridiplantae; Streptophyta; Magnoliopsida; Poales; Poaceae. The record is from RNAcentral.
AUGAGCAGACGCGGGGGGAGGACGAGGAGCACGACGGCGGCCCUCCUCCCCCUCGUGCCACGACCGCUCCAUCUCCUUGAGCUCCCCCUUCCCCUUCCUCACCCCAUCACCUUUGCCGGUGGAUCCCGGCGAGGAGGAGCAGCCAAUUUCUGCCGGUGCCUCCCCCCAAUCCGCAGCACGACCGCCAGAGCCCACGUUUCUGGUGAGGUGAGCCACGGCGGCCACGCGCCUGCGCCGGCGCCCGCGGCUGACACGUCCCCGGGCAUCUCCUCCGCGUCUCUGGAUCCGGCCGCCGUCGCCGCCUCUCUUCUUGCCCCGCCGUCGCUCCUCAGGUGCUGCUCGCCUCAUCCCCCUCGCGCCGGCCCUGGCCCUGGCCCCGGCACUGGCGCCGUCGAAGGCCGCGUCGAGCGCCCGCAUCGCCCGCCCGUGCACCCGAACCCGACACGACUCAGGGCGCGCCCCAACUCCCGGCGCUGGCCGCCUCUGUCGCCUGCGUCGCCAUCUUCCUCAUCACCAAGUUCGUUAACGACUGCCCCAACCAUAGCGCCGGCAACUGCUCCGUGGGGUUCCUUCCAGCCGCUCAAGGAGAACCAGCUCCUCGGCCCAUCCUCCACCACAAAUCAAGGACUGUUGAAAAGAAAUCUUUGGCUGGUUGUCGCUGAAUUUCUCAGUAAGAGAAUAAUUGAGUAUGAAGCAACCAAGGUGAUGCUGGCCCUAAGCAUCAAUCCGUGUGUUCCGACUCUAUGA